This 201-nucleotide ribosomal RNA is filed under the name uncultured bacterium. RNAcentral's name for it is "partial 16S ribosomal RNA". It matches the Rfam family "Bacterial small subunit ribosomal RNA", at positions 524 to 723 of the family's 1533-position model. The record is from RNAcentral.
UACGAAGGGGGGCUAGCGUUGUUCGGAAUUACUGGGCGUAAAGCGCACGUAGGCGGCUUUGUAAGUUAGAGGUGAAAGCCCAGGGCUUAACCCUGGAAUUGCCUUUAAGACUGCAUCGCUAGAAUCGUGGAGAGGUAAGUGGAAUUCCGAGUGUAGAGGUGAAAUUCGUAGAUAUUCGGAAGAACACCAGUGGCGAAGGCG